This 380-nucleotide ribosomal RNA is filed under the name uncultured bacterium. RNAcentral's name for it is "bacterial SSU rRNA". It matches the Rfam family "Bacterial small subunit ribosomal RNA", at positions 28 to 399 of the family's 1533-position model. The record is from RNAcentral.
GACGAACGCUGGCGGCGUGCUUAACACAUGCAAGUCGAGCGGUAAGGCCCUUUCGGGGGUACACGAGCGGCGAACGGGUGAGUAACACGUGGGUGACCUGCCCUCAGCUCUGGGAUAAGCCUGGGAAACUGGGUCUAAUACUGGAUAUGACUCCACGGUGCAUGUCGUGGGGUGGAAAGCCUUGUGCGGCUGAGGAUGGGCCCGCGGCCUAUCAGCUUGUUGGUGGGGNGAUGGCCUACCAAGGCGACGACGGGUAGGCCGGCCUGAGAGGGCGGACCGGCCGACACUGGGACGUGAGACACGGCCCACGACUCCUACGGGAGGGCAGCAGUGGGGAAGUCUUGCGCAAUAGGGCGGAAAGACCUGACGCAGCGACGCCG